GUACCCUGCAAAGAAGCAGAACAGAAAUUGCGAUCGAAUCGAGUUCCAGAAUGUAUAGAAAAGCUAUAUCAAAUCACGCUAACUCGAUUGACGUUACUAUUUGGAGUAAAUCAGCAAAGCUGGUUUCAAGAGGGUAGGCUGAAGUUGCAGGUUUCUUCAACUCGUCGGAACUUUAGGUGUCCCCUGAGCUGCCAGUAUUCCUUCAGCACUUCCCAAGUAACGCAGAAAGUUUACCUCUAGGAAGAGCACCGGGAGGUCACCCCUGCUCCGAGCCUCCGGGAGGGUAUGAAGCUCCAAGACACUGGUGAGGAAAGCCACUCUUCCCCCUCUGGAACAAGCCAACCAUGUCCCUCCUGCCACCUCAUCUCUCCCUCCCAGUAUCUCGCUCUCUUCCCACCAUCCCACUGGUUUCGUUGGCCUUCCCAAAAAAAAAAACUCAAACUUGAUGAGCACUUCAUGAUUUCAGAAGAAGAAGAAGAAGAAGAAGAGCGGAUGAGAAGAAGGAGAAGACAGCUUGCCUGUCAUGGUAUUCAUCUCUGUUCUGCAGGAGGAUCAAAGCGUAGAGAGGGUGAGAGAGCCAGACGAAAGCUGCUAUACACAUUGUUCCCUUGAAGACCGGCCUCUAUUCCUCUGUUCUCAGACUUCUUUCACUUUUGUAGGUAAUUAUUAUGGAGCAAUCAGGAAUGGACUGGUCGUGUCUGAACUCUGAAAGGGUGCAUGAAGUUCUUCUUUGCUUUAACUCUUGUAAGUCCCCUGUUCUUCCAUCUCUUAUAUAUACACAUUACAUGUUUUUAAUGCAUAUAUAUAUGACAAGAUGGUGCGUCAAUUAUUAAAUUAUGUUCGGCUGGAUGGAUAUGAAAGAGCAGUGGGACCGCUUCCACUUGUCGUCUCUUUGUUCCAGAAGCUGUGUUCUCUUUCUCUUGUUUUUGGCCAUUUUAUUAUGUGCUUAAAACCUGCGUGCUCAGGUCGAAGUGGAUAGCAACGAAUGAAUAAAAUAAUAAUAAUAAUAAUAAUAAUAAAUAAAUAAAAUCCACUCCUUCGGGGAUCUUUAUGUGUGGCCUCCUCUAAUCCUCUGAUGCUGGCUGUCAACUCAUGCUUUAACCCAUAUUUUCGAGUCUGGUUUUUAUACAUACAACAAUGUAAUGCCCCGUUUAUUCAUUUCCCCCGCGGUACAAAAUUAUAGUCGGAUUAACUUCACAUGCCAUGAUAAGGUCGUGAAAAUCCAAUGGAAUAUGAUAUUGAUAUGUAUGGACGGGACCUUGUCUUUUGGCUAUAGAGAGAUAUCGAUUAUUGUAAUGACAAUCGAUAGAAGACUGACGUUCUAUUUUUUUAUUUUUUUUUAUUUUACCCAUAUGGGCGUAAGAAAAGGAUUUCUUGUAGAAGAUGUCAGUAAUAAAUAAAGGUAUGCUAACUUGACUUUUUCUUAA
This is a non-coding RNA of Punica granatum (pomegranate), 1427 nucleotides long. The record is from RefSeq and is a predicted model, not a curated record. NCBI's taxonomy places the organism in Eukaryota, Viridiplantae, Streptophyta, Magnoliopsida, Myrtales, Lythraceae.